GCCUAAUACAUGCAAGUCGAGCGAACGGACGAGAAGCUUGCUUCUCUGAUGUUAGCGGCGGACGGGUGAGUAACACGUGGAUAACCUACCUAUAAGACUGGGAUAACUUCGGGAAACCGGAGCUAAUACCGGAUAAUAUUUUGAACCGCAUGGUUCAAAAGUGAAAGACGGUCUUGCUGUCACUUAUAGAUGGAUCCGCGCUGCAUUAGCUAGUUGGUAAGGUAACGGCUUACCAAGGCAACGAUGCAUAGCCGACCUGAGAGGGUGAUCGGCCACACUGGAACUGAGACACGGUCCAGACUCCUACGGGAGGCAGCAGUAGGGAAUCUUCCGCAAUGGGCGAAAGCCUGACGGAGCAACGCCGCGUGAGUGAUGAAGGUCUUCGGAUCGUAAAACUCUGUUAUUAGGGAAGAACACAUGUGUAAGUAACUGUGCACAUCUUGACGGUACCUAAUCAGAAAGCCACGGCUAACUACGUGCCAGCAGCCGCGGUAAUACGUAGGUGGCAAGCGUUAUCCGGAAUUAUUGGGCGUAAAGCGCGCGUAGGCGGUUCUUUAAGUCUGAUGUGAAAGCCCACGGCUCAACCGAGGAGGGUCAUUGGAAACUGGAAAACUUGAGUGCAGAAGAGGAAAGUGGAAUUCCAUGUGUAGCGGUGAAAUGCGCAGAGAUAUGGAGGAACACCAGUGGCGAAGGCGACUUUCUGGUCUGUAAC
This 712-nucleotide ribosomal RNA is filed under the name uncultured Staphylococcus sp. RNAcentral's name for it is "bacterial SSU rRNA". It matches the Rfam family "Bacterial small subunit ribosomal RNA", at positions 46 to 740 of the family's 1533-position model. Lineage: Bacteria; Bacillati; Bacillota; Bacilli; Caryophanales; Staphylococcaceae. The record is from RNAcentral.